AAACUAUUUAUUUAUUUUCUUCUAGUUUGGGUUUUAGUGGAAAAACGGUCUAUUUCCUCACGAGAAGUACCGUAUCAUGCCAAAUAGAGCUCAAACUUCAACCCCGGUCUACAUGUCCAUGAAAACAAAGUUUUAAACCUAUUUCUCCCCGAAACGUAAGUUCUAUAGCUAAAUCUCCCCAAAUUAAUACUUCGAGAUCUAUUAACACAUAUAUCUGGUUUUUGUCGGUUUAAUGUACACCAAUUCAGUCUUAACCAUUUGAAAAC
Molecule: small RNA, 266 nt
Filed under: Arabidopsis thaliana (thale cress)
Lineage: Eukaryota; Viridiplantae; Streptophyta; Magnoliopsida; Brassicales; Brassicaceae
Description: ATSL117240
Source: RNAcentral